This 86-nucleotide transfer RNA is filed under the name Fastidiosipila sanguinis. RNAcentral's name for it is "tRNA-Leu". It matches the Rfam family "tRNA". From Rfam's summary of the family: Transfer RNA (tRNA) molecules are approximately 80 nucleotides in length. Their secondary structure includes four short double-helical elements and three loops (D, anti-codon, and T loops). Lineage: Bacteria; Bacillati; Bacillota; Clostridia; Eubacteriales; Oscillospiraceae. The record is from RNAcentral.
GCCGAUGUGUUGGAAUUGGCAGACGAGCUUGACUCAAAAUCAAGUGCCCUACGGGCGUGCGGGUUCGACCCCCGCCAUCGGCACCA